ACGCNGUAAACGAUGAGUGCUAGGUGUUAGACCCUUUCCGGGGUUUAGUGCCGCAGCUAACGCAUUAAGCACUCCGCCUGGGGAGUACGACCGCAAGGUUGAAACUCAAAGGAAUUGACGGGGGCCCGCACAAGCGGUGGAGCAUGUGGUUUAAUUCGAAGCAACGCGAAGAACCUUACCAGGUCUUGACAUCCCUCUGACCGCUCUAGAGAUAGAGUUUUCNUUCGGGACAGAGGUGACAGGUGGUGCAUGGUUGUCGUCAGCUCGUGUCGUGAGAUGUUGGGUUAAGUNNNNNAACGAGCGCAACCCCUAUUGUUAGUUGCCAUCAUUUAGUUGGGCACUCUAGCGAGACUGCCGGUAAUAAACCGGAGGAAGGUGGGGAUGACGUCAAAUCAUCAUGCCCCUUAUGACCUGGGCUACACACGUGCUACAAUGGCUGGUACAACGAGUCGCAAGCCGGUGACGGCAAGCUAAUCUCUUAAAGCCAGUCUCAGUUCGGAUUGUAGGCUGCAACUCGCCUACAUGAAGUCGGAAUCGCUAGUAAUCGCGGAUCAGCACGCCGCGGUGAAUACGUUCCCGGGCCUUGUNC
RNAcentral lists this ribosomal RNA (589 nucleotides) under uncultured bacterium. RNAcentral describes it as "bacterial SSU rRNA". It matches the Rfam family "Bacterial small subunit ribosomal RNA", at positions 797 to 1386 of the family's 1533-position model. The record is from RNAcentral.